Papaver somniferum (opium poppy) is the source of this 1454-nucleotide long non-coding RNA. RefSeq lists it as uncharacterized. The record is from RefSeq and is a predicted model, not a curated record. The transcript is spliced from 8 exons. NCBI's taxonomy places the organism in Eukaryota, Viridiplantae, Streptophyta, Magnoliopsida, Ranunculales, Papaveraceae.
GUUUCCCAGAUUUGGUUCCUUAUCUCGGUCUUCCUGAACUAUUAUCACUUCUCUGUCAGAUAUCUUACAGCAUCUGAGUUUUUACUCCAAAACGAAUGAAAAUCUAAAUUGUAGACUCUCUUCAUCUUUUCUCUUACUCAGAUUCAUCAUUGAAACCCUAAGUUUUUUAUAUCGUAACUAACUUGAAAUCAUUUGUUACUCCAUGAAAACUCUGUCACUGUGUACAUCGAUGGAAGAUUUUAAUCUGCCAACUCCAAUUGCAAUCUAAAAAUACUGUUGGUAAUGAAAGAGAAGAUCAAGUGAGAUUCAAUCAGAUGUUCUAUGAACUUUUAGAUCUAAAUCAAAGGUUUUUUGGGUUUAAUGAUUAAGCUACAGAACCAGAUGGUGAAGGAGGAGUAAUUAGUAGUCUUAGAGAUCGGAAUCUAAGAGGUUAAAGGAUAUCUUAUCUAUCUGUAAGGAGAAUUUUAAGAAGUGCAGUUUGGAUGGUGGUGAAACGGAUUGGAUGAACAGAUUCAACAACUUCAUGAGAAACAAAUUCUAAGGGCUUAUGACUGAAGAGUUGAGAAAUUUUUUGGAGUUUUACCUAAAGUUUAGUUGCUGUGCCAAAGAUUAAUUGGGAUGGUUCGCCUUAUUUAAAAAAUCCAAUUUUAAGCCUGUUAGGCUUAUAAUAUCUUGCACACUUGCAUCUGGAAAAGGAGCACAAUGCAAACUCAGAAAGCAAAUAUGAAGUUGCUCAAGCACUAAUACCGCCAUUAUUCGACAUUUGUUAAGUUGUUGAUCUGCAGAACGCUCACUAGCUUUGGUGUGAUUCCAAUGAUGACGGGGAUAAGCUAUAACAUUAACUAGUUGGCAUCUAAUGGUUGCAUUUUGCACACUUCAUGUGGCACAAAGAUUCAAUGUUUUUGAGACCAAGGCAAUUGAUACCCAAACUGUAAUGCUAUUGGGUAUCAUAAAUUGCGUGUCUACUGGACUUCUCAAUUUAUGUCUUGGGUUCAAUUCCACUGGAUUCUACCACGUUAACUAUUUUGAUUUUAUCUUAUGAUCAUUUUUAAGAGAAUUUAGGAUCUGAUUAGUUUAGUUUGGUCGCAGUAGUGAAAGUUUAAUCCGGAUGAAAUGGUUUUUCUGUACAGACGACGAAACUUGCAAUAUACCCUUUACAGUACUGUCGGGGACCCAGUUCCUUAACAAGGUAUACGAUUCUGAGUUGCGCGGCUCAGUUCGUCAUCAGAUAGUUUAUCAUUUUGUUAGUUUGUACUUGUGUUUUAAGAAAACUUAGAACUUGUAUUGGUGCUCAUUUUGUUAGUUUGUACUUAUCUUUAAGAAAAUUUAGAACUUGUGUUGGUGCUGAUUCAAGUUUUGUUUACAAUUUUUGGUUAUUCUGAAUCCACGCUAUGAUUAGUGUGUUGUUCGUAUAAUGAAUUCUAAGCUUAAUUGAAUGGGAAUGAUUUACUUAA